UCGCCUGUUUAUCAAAAACAUGGUUUCUUGUUAUAUUUAGGAAAUCUGACCUGCCCACUGAAAUGAUUUUUUGAAGGGCCGCAGUAUUUUGACUGUGCAAAGGUAGCAUAAUCAUUAGUCUUUUAAUUGAAGGCUGGUAUGAAUGGUUGGACGAGGUAAAUAACUAUCUUAUAAUAAUUUUAUUUGAAUUUGGGAGUUAAGUAAAAAUACUUAAAUAUUAUUAAGGGACGAGAAGACCCUAUAGAGUUUAAUAUAUUAAAUAUUAAUUGGGUUAAUAAUAUAAUUUUUGAUUAAUAUGUCAUAUAUUUGGUUGGGGUGAUUAAAAGAUAAAAAUAACUCUUUUUUUAUAUUAAUAAUAUAAUUAAAUUAGGRAUCCAUAUUUAGUGAAUGAAAGAUUAAAUUACCUUAGGGAUAACAGCAUAAUUCUUUUUGAGAGUUCUUAUCGAGAAAGGAGAUUGUGACCUCGAUGUUGGAUUAAGAUAAAUUUUGGGUGUAGAUGUUUAACUAUUAGGUCUGUUCGACCUUUAAUUUCUUACAUGAUCUGAGUUCAAACCGGAGA
This 559-nucleotide ribosomal RNA is filed under the name Stenomantis novaeguineae. RNAcentral describes it as "partial 16S ribosomal RNA". It matches the Rfam family "Bacterial large subunit ribosomal RNA", at positions 1796 to 2622 of the family's 2925-position model. The record is from RNAcentral. Lineage: Eukaryota; Metazoa; Arthropoda; Insecta; Mantodea; Liturgusidae.